Molecule: long non-coding RNA, 1233 nt
Filed under: Oncorhynchus kisutch (coho salmon)
Lineage: Eukaryota; Metazoa; Chordata; Actinopteri; Salmoniformes; Salmonidae
Description: lncRNA (ENSOKIG00005002167.1)
Source: RNAcentral
AGUAUCUAUUUUACUUCCACAAUCCCUCCCAGACUCUCCCUCUACCAAACGCUGUACAUCUUAGCUACCUCCUGGGCCAACUCAAUCCAUCUCCACAUAGAUAGACCUAUACUCUUAGCAACCUCCUGGGCCAACUCAAUCCAUCUCCACAUAGAUAGACCUAUAAUCUUAGCUACCUCCUGGGCCAACUCAAUCCAUCUCCACAUAGAUAGACCUAUAUUCUUAGCUACCUCCUGGGCCAACUCAAUCCAUCUCCACAUAGAUAGACCUAUACGCUUAGCUACCUCCUGGGCCAACUCAAUCCAUCUCCACAAAGAUAGACCUAUAAUCUUAGUUACCUCCUGGGCCAACUCAAUCCAUCUCCACAUAGAUAGACCUAUAAUCUUAGUUACCUCCUGGGCCAACUCAAUCCAUCUCCACAUAGAUAGACCUAUAACCUUAGUUACCUCCUGGGCCAACUCAAUCCAUCUCCACAUAGAUAGACCUAUAAUCUUAGUUACCUCCUGGGCCAACUCAAUCCAUCUCCACAUAGAUAGACCUAUACUCUUAGCUACCUCCUGGGCCAACUCAAUCCAUCUCCACAAAGAUAGACCUAUAAUCUUAGUUACCUCCUGGGCCAACUCAAUCCAUCUCCACAUAGAUAGACCUAUACUCUUAGCUACCUCCUGGGCCAACUCAAUCCAUCUCCACAUAGAUAGACCUAUACUCUUAGCUACCUCCUGGGCCAACUCAAUCCAUCUCCACAUAGAUAGACCUAUACUCUUAGCUACCUCCUGGGACAGAUUCAGCCUCAUCUACCUCAGAUUGGUAGCACAGGAAUGGUCAGUCACCCUUGUUUCCAUCGCUCAGUCAGGUUCAUUGACAUCCGCUCUACUAUCAAUUGCAAUAAGAAGACAACUGGGAAUGGGACUGACACACAGACAGCCAAAGCAAUCUUGUUCUUUCUUUUUUGAUUGUUUACCUGAUCUGAACCAUAUUGUCCCAAAGCUCAGUCUGUUCAAAUUCACCAUUCACCUGGAUUCACCAUUCACCUGGAUUCACCAUUCAUCUGGAUUCACCAUUCACCUGGAUUUACCAUUCACCUGGAUUUACCAUUCACCUGGAUUCACCAUUCACCUGGAUUUACCAUUCACCUGGAUUUACCAUUCACCUGGAUUCACCUGGAUUUACCAUUCACCUGGAUUCACCAUUCACCUGGAUUUACCAUUCACCUGGAUUUACCAUUCACCCUGA